This 844-nucleotide long non-coding RNA is filed under the name Rattus norvegicus (Norway rat). Its description in RNAcentral is "long non-coding RNA NONRATT020321". Lineage: Eukaryota; Metazoa; Chordata; Mammalia; Rodentia; Muridae. The record is from RNAcentral.
AUUGCUUCGUAUUUAAAAAGCGUGGACUAAACCAUGUUGUUAUUUAAUAUGAAUCAGAUAGCAAGUCUAGGCUGCUGACUGCUCAGAUUAGAUUAUCAUUCGUCUUUGGCAUAAAAGGACAGCUUCUAACGGUCUGCCUUGCGUUAUCCUAAGCAGAAAAGGAAACCUUGUGAUUGACAGCCAGAAUGGAUCAGAGCUUCCCCUCUGGUUUGCACUUGUACCAUUGGGAUCAGUAAGGAAGGACUGGUGUGAGCAUCUUCUGUCCUCAAGCACUCAGUACCAUUACCUCAGCCUAAAGAAAGCUUCACAUUAGCUUUACACUAUGUACGACUUGAGAGUCUUCUAGCUGUUUAUAAUCACUGAAAUUACUAGCACCCAGGGAGCCCAAAAAGCCUAGGAAAGGCAGUGUUGCGCCUUGACUCAUCUUGCAUAUGCCCCUGUCCUGUCCCUGUACCCACAGUGAAGCUGCCGCCCAUGCUGUCGCCACUCUGGCUGAAGCCACCUUACAAGGCGGGGGACAGAUAGUCCUGUCUGGGGAAACCGCAGCAGCCGUUGGAGCACUUACUGGAGUCCAAGAUGCUAAUGGCCUGGUCCAGAUCCCUGUGAGCAUGUACCAGACUGUGGUAACCAGCCUCGCCCAGGGCAACGGGCCAGUGCAGGUGGCCAUGGCCCCAGUGACCACCAGGAUAUCGGACAGCGCAGUCACCAUGGAUGGCCAGGCUGUGGAGGUGGUGACGUUGGAACAGUAACACGGAGCUCUAUCAUGGCAUCCUUUUCUAGUCUACUUCAGAAUUUUUUACAUGUUUGCAGAGGUGCAAUCAAAUGGAAUUAAGUCUCUCGACUU